RNAcentral lists this ribosomal RNA (355 nucleotides) under Carabus yokoae marcilhaci. RNAcentral describes it as "partial 12S ribosomal RNA". The record is from RNAcentral. Lineage: Eukaryota; Metazoa; Arthropoda; Insecta; Coleoptera; Carabidae.
UUUAAAUGUAAAAUAAAAAUACUAAAGUAGUAUUAGUUAUGUUCUUGAAAUUUAAAGAUUUUGGCGGUAUUUUAGUCUAUUUAGAGGAGCCUGUUCUGUAAUUGAUAAUCCACGAUUAAUUUUACUUAAUUUAUAUAAAUUUGUAUACCGUCGUUAUAAGAAGAUUUUAAAAGAAUAUAAAUUUUUAAUAUUUUAUAUAAAAAAAUAUAUCAGAUCAAGGUGCAGUUUAUAAUUAAGGAGUAAUGGGCUACAAUAAAUUUAUUUAUACGGAUUAAAAUCAGAAUAUGAUUUUAUGAAGGUGGAUUUAAUAGUAAUAAGAUUAAUUUAAAUUUUAUGAUUUUAGCUCUAAAAUAUG